This 329-nucleotide unclassified non-coding RNA is filed under the name soil metagenome. RNAcentral describes it as "partial contains 5.8S ribosomal RNA, internal transcribed spacer 2, and large subunit ribosomal RNA". The stretch from base 1 to 120 matches the Rfam family "5.8S ribosomal RNA", at positions 35 to 154 of the family's 154-position model. The record is from RNAcentral.
GAUGAAGAACGUAGCGAUAUGCGAUAAGUAAUGUGAAUUGCAGAAUUCAGUGAAUCAUCGAAUCUUUGAACGCACAUUGCGCCCUCUGGUAUUCCGGGGGGCAUGCCUGUUCGAGCGUCAUUAUAACCACUCAAGCUCUCGCUUGGUAUUGGGGUUCGCGGUUUCGCGGCCCCUAAAAUCAGUGGCGGUGCCUGUCGGCUCUACGCGUAGUAAUACUUCUCGCGAUUGAGUCCGAUAGGUCUAAUUGCCAGUAACCCCCAAUUUUUACAGGUUGACCUCGGAUCAGGUAGGGAUACCCGCUGAACUUAAGCAUAUCAAUAAGCGGAGGA